UAGGGAAUCUUCGGCAAUGGACGAAAGUCUGACCGAGCAACGCCGCGUGAGUGAAGAAGGUUUUCGGAUCGUAAAACUCUGUUGUUAGAGAAGAACAAGGACGUUAGUAACUGAACGUCCCCUGACGGUAUCUAACCAGAAAGCCACGGCUAACUACGUGCCAGCAGCCGCGGUAAUACGUAGGUGGCAAGCGUUGUCCGGAUUUAUUGGGCGUAAAGCGCACGCAGGCGGUUGAUUGAGUCAGAUGUGAAAUCCCCGGGCUUAACCCGGGAAUUGCAUCUGAUACUGGUCAGCUAGAGUCUUGUAGAGGGGGGUAGAAUUCCAUGUGUAGCGGUGAAAUGCGUAGAGAUGUGGAGGAAUACCGGUGGCGAAGGCGGCCCCCUGGACAAAGACUGACGCUCAGGUGCGAAAGCGUGGGGAGCAAACAGG
Molecule: ribosomal RNA, 429 nt
Filed under: Chloroflexota bacterium
Lineage: Bacteria; Bacillati; Chloroflexota
Description: Chloroflexi bacterium partial 16S ribosomal RNA
Rfam family: Bacterial small subunit ribosomal RNA
Source: RNAcentral